ACCAAUUACUGGAGUUAGUGAAACGCACACUCUUCCUCUCUAUAAAUCUCUCCCUCUCUCUUCUCCCUUAUUUGCACACUAUCGUGACUCUCUCUCUCUCUCACUGCGUGCAUUGCCUGGUGGAGAAGAACGAGUCUGUGUGUGUCGUCGUCUCCGCCGCCAUGCCCAAGGGGAGAGCUCUUGUGGAUUGGCCGAAAAACGGUCGGACACGCCGCUGGUGUAGUGUAGGGUUCAGUAAGCCUGUGCGGCCAAAUAUUUGUCUUAUCAACGACAAGCCGGUCGCAAAUUAUCAGCUGUUGUCAAGGCUACGGAGGGGGUCGUAGACACCACCGGGCGACUUCUUUGCAUAGAUCAUGUUUGAUGUGGUUGUUUCUCUUAAUUGUGCAAAAAUUUGCAUACCAAAUGUGGAUAUGGAAGGAGUUAUUGCUAAGUUGUUUACACUUUUUUGAUAUCUACUCACGCGAUAACCACAUCCGCCGCCGUCGCCAUUAUGCGCACGGGAACAGCGCGUGCACGUUCGCGCAUACAUGCAAACACUGCGCGACCAGCAGCGGGGGAAAGCGGAGCACGUUCGCGCACAUAGGUCAACCACAUCUUGCGUCUGUGCGCGCGCGCACGCGCUCCUACUAAUACACACAGAGAGAGACAGCGUUUAAAGCCAGCUUCAUCAUGGCGCGGGGCGACAGUAUUAUCAACGCCACCCCAUCCAAUAUGUGUGGCCAAUGCUCCCGUUCGCGGCUGCUGCUGGGUUGGCCAGCAAAGUUGUUGUUAUGUUUUCAAUUGCUACUGCACGACGGACCGAAUGUGUGUGUGUGUGUAUAUGUAUGGUCUUCUAGCGUCUUCUUUUCUGCAUCCUAGCCUGCAACUGUUCGGUGAACAAACAAACGAAACCAAAAACAAACAAACAAAAAAGAGAAUAAUACACCAUCUCACUGAUAAAACGGUCACACAUUUCUUUGUGUAUUUAAAGACAAUAAAUGGUACCAGGGAGGGCGGGAGGAUAAUAGAGGGGUUCGCGCCCGCACACACAAACACACGCUUGUAGCAUGUUCCGCAUGUUUGUGUGCUCAUUUUCCCGGCUGCUCUAGGUUGUUUUCCGCUUCUUGGGUUUGCGUUUUUUUGCGUGCGCAAAGUCACCCCCAGUGAUGGUGCGCCCACUGUGUCACGCGCUUUCGCCGUGCGCUCGUGCGCUUGGUUGUGUUGGUGAGCGCGCACAGCUCGUCGCGCACCAUGUAUGGGCCGCGGCCACAUUAAGCGCGACGGUCAUCGGCCAUGUGCUGCACGGGGGGGUUACCGACAGGUGCGCACACACCACCACUCUGCCCCUUCCAAAAUCAACCCCUCAUCAGCUCAUCUUUGUUAUCAGCGCAGAAUAAAGAGAAUAUUCCCGACUUUUAUCGCAGCAUGUGGAUGCUCUUAACAACACCUUAAGGGGGCGGUCGUUGACAAAGGAAAUGUUUAAAUUCGUUAACCUGGCACUUGUUGCAAGAGAAACGCUAAACGUGAUUAAAUGCGUACUGACGGAGCAUUCCAAGAAGCGAAGGGAUUAAACGGUCCCUACACUUCGCACUGGUGUG
Molecule: long non-coding RNA, 1577 nt
Organism: Anopheles merus
Lineage: Eukaryota; Metazoa; Arthropoda; Insecta; Diptera; Culicidae
Exons: 3
Source: RefSeq, a predicted model, not a curated record